ACCCGAAGGCGGUGCGCCAACCAGCAAUGGAGGCAGCCGACCACGGUGGGUUCAGUGACUGGGGUGAAGUCGUAACAAGGUAGCCGUAGGUGAACCUGCAGAAGGAUCA
Molecule: ribosomal RNA, 109 nt
Filed under: uncultured eukaryote
Lineage: Eukaryota
Description: partial small subunit ribosomal RNA
Rfam family: Bacterial small subunit ribosomal RNA
Source: RNAcentral